RNAcentral lists this ribosomal RNA (905 nucleotides) under Vibrio sp. AD65. RNAcentral's name for it is "bacterial SSU rRNA". It matches the Rfam family "Bacterial small subunit ribosomal RNA", at positions 77 to 980 of the family's 1533-position model. Lineage: Bacteria; Pseudomonadati; Pseudomonadota; Gammaproteobacteria; Vibrionales; Vibrionaceae. The record is from RNAcentral.
GAUUUGUUGGGCGGCGAGGGCGGACGGGUGAGUAAUGCCUGGGAAUAUGCCUUGAUGUGGGGGAUAACUAUUGGAAACGAUAGCUAAUACCGCAUAAUGCCUUCGGGCCAAAGAGGGGGACCUUCGGGCCUCUCGCGUCAAGAUUAGCCCAGGUGGGAUUAGCUAGUUGGUGAGGUAAAGGCUCACCAAGGCGACGAUCCCUAGCUGGUCUGAGAGGAUGAUCAGCCACACUGGAACUGAGACACGGUCCAGACUCCUACGGGAGGCAGCAGUGGGGAAUAUUGCACAAUGGGCGCAAGCCUGAUGCAGCCAUGCCGCGUGUGUGAAGAAGGCCUUCGGGUUGUAAAGCACUUUCAGUCGUGAGGAAGGUAGUGUAGUUAAUAGCUGCAUUAUUUGACGUUAGCGACAGAAGAAGCACCGGCUAACUCCGUGCCAGCAGCCGCGGUAAUACGGAGGGUGCGAGCGUUAAUCGGAAUUACUGGGCGUAAAGCGCAUGCAGGUGGUUUGUUAAGUCAGAUGUGAAAGCCCGGGGCUCAACCUCGGAACAGCAUUUGAAACUGGCAGACUAGAGUACUGUAGAGGGGGGUAGAAUUUCAGGUGUAGCGGUGAAAUGCGUAGAGAUCUGAAGGAAUACCAGUGGCGAAGGCGGCCCCCUGGACAGAUACUGACACUCAGAUGCGAAAGCGUGGGGAGCAAACAGGAUUAGAUACCCUGGUAGUCCACGCCGUAAACGAUGUCUACUUGGAGGUUGUGGCCUUGAGCCGUGGCUUUCGGAGCUAACGCGUUAAGUAGACCGCCUGGGGAGUACGGUCGCAAGAUUAAAACUCAAAUGAAUUGACGGGGGCCCGCACAAGCGGUGGAGCAUGUGGUUUAAUUCGAUGCAACGCGAAGAACCUUACCUACUC